This 117-nucleotide small RNA is filed under the name Pongo abelii (Sumatran orangutan). RNAcentral's name for it is "Metazoan signal recognition particle RNA (ENSPPYG00000035091.1)". Lineage: Eukaryota; Metazoa; Chordata; Mammalia; Primates; Hominidae. The record is from Rfam by way of RNAcentral.
GCUGGGCGUGAUGGCUCACGCCUGUAAUCCCAGCACUUUGGGAGGCCGAGGUGGGUGGAUCACCUGAGGUCAGGAGUUCAAGACCAGCCUGACCAACAUGGUGAAACCCUGUCUCUA